AACGAACGCUGGCGGCAGGCCUAAAACAUGCAAGUCGAACGGGUGUAGCAAUACAUCAGUGGCGCACGGGUGAGUAACGCGUGGGAACGUGCCCUUCAGUACGGGACAACGUCGGGAAACUGACGCUAAUACCGUAUAAUAUCUCCCGAUCAAAGAUUUAUCGCUGAAGGAUCGGCCCGCGUCUGAUUAGUUUGUUGGUGAGGUAACGGCUCACCAAGACUACGAUCAGUAGCUGGUCUGAGAGGAUGAUCAGCCACACUGGGACUGAGACACGGCCCAGACUCCUACGGGAGGCAGCAGUUAGGAAUAUUGGACAAUGGGGGAAACCCUGAUCCAGCCAUGCCGCGUGUGUGAUGAAGGCCUUAGGGUUGUAAAGCACUUUCGUUGGGGAUGAUAAUGACCGUACCCAAAGAAGAAGCCACGGCUAAAUUCGUGCCAGCCGCCGCCGUAA
Molecule: ribosomal RNA, 451 nt
Filed under: uncultured bacterium
Lineage: Bacteria
Description: partial 16S ribosomal RNA
Rfam family: Bacterial small subunit ribosomal RNA
Source: RNAcentral